UUUAAGGUGUUUAAAUUGUAAUUUUAGUGAAAGUUCUUUAGAAUUGAAUCAUUGAACUGAAAUGAAAAAAAUUAAUUUAUUUUAAUUUGAUUUAGCUAUUUAAUUUAAUUCGAUUGAUAAAUUUUUUCUUUUCAGUUAUUCAAUUAUCGCGCUUCAUGGGUCUGGCAUUGGAAUGGAGAUUAGAGAACGCUGCCUCAUCCUUCCCUCGUCACAAGGCCACCAUUUGCUUUGGAGUAAUGGUUUUGGGGUUUUAAUCAUUGAGAAAAGGGUCCCUGAGAGAGAGAGAGAUGUGUUUGGG
Molecule: unclassified non-coding RNA, 298 nt
Filed under: Hevea brasiliensis (rubber tree)
Lineage: Eukaryota; Viridiplantae; Streptophyta; Magnoliopsida; Malpighiales; Euphorbiaceae
Source: RNAcentral